UUCGGCGUAGUCUAACAGGUCAGGACAUUCGCACCGCUCAUUGAACAAGCGAAAGAUCCAGGUUCAAAUCCUGGCGCCGAAC
This 82-nucleotide transfer RNA is filed under the name Perkinsus marinus ATCC 50983. It matches the Rfam family "tRNA". From Rfam's summary of the family: Transfer RNA (tRNA) molecules are approximately 80 nucleotides in length. Their secondary structure includes four short double-helical elements and three loops (D, anti-codon, and T loops). Further hydrogen bonds mediate the characteristic L-shaped molecular structure. tRNAs have two regions of fundamental functional importance: the anti-codon, which is responsible for specific mRNA codon recognition, and the 3' end, to which the tRNAs corresponding amino acid is attached (by aminoacyl-tRNA synthetases). tRNAs cope with the degeneracy of the genetic code in two manners: having more than one tRNA (with a specific anti-codon) for a particular amino acid; and 'wobble' base-pairing, i.e. permitting non-standard base-pairing at the 3rd anti-codon position. Lineage: Eukaryota; Perkinsozoa; Perkinsida; Perkinsidae. The record is from Rfam by way of RNAcentral.